This 557-nucleotide ribosomal RNA is filed under the name Bacillus pumilus. RNAcentral describes it as "bacterial SSU rRNA". It matches the Rfam family "Bacterial small subunit ribosomal RNA", at positions 82 to 629 of the family's 1533-position model. Lineage: Bacteria; Bacillati; Bacillota; Bacilli; Caryophanales; Bacillaceae. The record is from RNAcentral.
CGAAAUGGAUGCACCCGCGGAGGGUGAAUUCACGUGGGUACCUUGCCUGUAAGAUUGGGAUAACUCCGGGAAACCGGAGCUAAUACCGGAUAGUUCCUUGAACCGCAUGGUUCAAGGAUGAAAGACGGUUUCGGCUGUCACUUACAGAUGGACCCGCGGCGCAUUAGCUAGUUGGUGAGGUAACGGCUCACCAAGGCGACGAUGCGUAGCCGACCUGAGAGGGUGAUCGGCCACACUGGGACUGAGACACGGCCCAGACUCCUACGGGAGGCAGCAGUAGGGAAUCUUCCGCAAUGGACGAAAGUCUGACGGAGCAACGCCGCGUGAGUGAUGAAGGUUUUCGGAUCGUAAAGCUCUGUUGUUAGGGAAGAACAAGUGCAAGAGUAACUGCUUGCACCUUGACGGUACCUAACCAGAAAGCCACGGCUAACUACGUGCCAGCAGCCGCGGUAAUACGUAGGUGGCAAGCGUUGUCCGGAAUUAUUGGGCGUAAAGGGCUCGCAGGCGGUUUCUUAAGUCUGAUGUGAAAGCCCCCGGCUCAACCGGGGAGGGUCUGG